RNAcentral lists this ribosomal RNA (397 nucleotides) under uncultured bacterium. RNAcentral describes it as "partial 16S ribosomal RNA". It matches the Rfam family "Bacterial small subunit ribosomal RNA", at positions 523 to 918 of the family's 1533-position model. The record is from RNAcentral.
AUACGUAGGGGGCGAGCGUUGUCCGGAAUGAUUGGGCGUAAAGGGCGCGUAGGCGGCGCGGUAAGUCUGGAGUGAAAGUCCUGCUUUCAAGGUGGGAAUUGCUUUGGAUACUGCCGCGCUUGAGUGCAGGAGAGGUUAUCGGAAUUCCCGGUGUAGCGGUGAAAUGCGUAGAGAUCGGGAGGAACACCAGUGGCGAAGGCGGGUAACUGGACUGCACCUGACGCUGAGGCGCGAAAGUGUGGGGAGCAAACAGGAUUAGAUACCCUGGUAGUCCACACUGUAAACGAUGAAUGCUAGGUGUAAGAGGUAUCGACCCCUUUUGUGCCGGAGUCAACACAAUAAGCAUUCCGCCUGGGGAGUACGGCCGCAAGGUUGAAACUCAAAUGAAUUGACGGGG